CAAUAGCGUAUAUUAAAGUUGUUGCAGUUAAAAAGCUCGUAGUUGGAUUUUGGGUCGGGGGCACCGGUCCGCCGUUCCGGUGUGCACUGGUGGCCCCUUCCUUUCUGCCGGGGACGUGCGUCGCACUUAAUUGGGUGGCGUUCGGAGUCGGCGUUGUUACUUUGAAAAAAUUAGAGUGUUCAAAGCAAGCCAUCGCUCUGAAUACAUUAGCAUGGAAUAACAUGAUAGGACUCCGGUCUUAUUUUGUUGGUUUCCGAGACUGGAGUAAUGAUUAAGAGGGACAGUCGGGGGCAUCCGUAUUUCAUUGUCAGAGGUGAAAUUCUUGGAUUUAUGAAAGACGAACUUCUGCGAAAGCAUUUGCCAAGGAUGUUUUCAUUAA
RNAcentral lists this ribosomal RNA (379 nucleotides) under uncultured eukaryote. RNAcentral describes it as "partial 18S ribosomal RNA". It matches the Rfam family "Eukaryotic small subunit ribosomal RNA", at positions 592 to 976 of the family's 1831-position model. The record is from RNAcentral.